Molecule: long non-coding RNA, 4186 nt
Organism: Parus major (Great Tit)
Lineage: Eukaryota; Metazoa; Chordata; Aves; Passeriformes; Paridae
Exons: 2
Source: RefSeq, a predicted model, not a curated record
UGAAAGCUGUUUGGCCUUGGCCAUGUGAGAGCAGGCAGUAGGGAGAUAAGAGAGAAAAGCCAGGUGCUGAUGCAGAUAAGGACAUGUGCCUGCAAGGGGAGAACUCGUCCUGAGUGGCAGCAGGGAAUGACAGACUGAUCUGGCCAUUGGUGCUGCAAGAGAGGGCAGUGGGGCUCUCGGGGAUGCUGCCAUGGAAACUCUACACAGGAGUGUUGGAAAACCACUCCUGUUGCCCCAACCCCAGGGAAUGAAAUGCAGAGGGUGUUUGCACUUCCCUUCCUCCCUGAUGGAGAGCACAUCAUCAUGGCACUGCCUAAAUCCUGCUUAGCGUGGAGUUGAAAUCCUGGCUGCAGUUCUGGCAGCUCGUGCCCAAAGGAACACGGGAGUGGAGCUGCCAGAGGUCGGGGAAGGGCAGAAAGGAAGCUGGGAUGGGCUGAGCGAGCUGGGAAAGAGGCAGCGUCAAGGGGGGCCCAGCCAAGGUCUGCAGCACCCUGAGAGGCAGAGAGAGAGGGGGGCAGCACGUGCCUGCCCCUGCAGCUGGAGUCCAGAUCUGGUAUGAGAAGCAAACCAAGAGAGGCAAUGAGUGAGUCUUCUUCUCCCUGUUUUGGCAGCAUGAACGGGAAUUGUACCAACAGCAGCUGAGAUACCUGGAAAAGAAAAAGGAAAUAGGUGCACCUGACAUCCAAAAUUGGAAGAAGAUAACCCAGGAAUUGGAAGUGGAGAGGGAAGACAUGCAAGAAGAGUUGGACCAUGGGACUGCUGCUGCCUUGAAGAAGAGAGGAAGAAAAGAAAUCAAAGGGACAGAGAAUGCUCAACUCCUGAGUGCUGCACUGAGGAAGAGUGAACUGGCCAAAGGGACUCUGAAGAAAAACUCCAUAAUGCUGCAGAGAAAAUCUCCUGACAACUGCAUGGGCCAGUCUCAUCUCCAGGUAGGCACAAGCAUUGACCUUCUGUCCACUCCAGUGUCCCUGAAGGAUUCCAGUGAUGUUUCCCAUAAAGAAGUGGGACUCUAUAUCCCUGUGAGUCCAGGCCUGCUUGGCCAAAGAAUCAGAAUUUUUAGGAGAGUGUUCCCAUCACACUCUCUUACGUCGCGUGUCCCCAAGUCUGACCAGCAAAAUACGUUGGCUUCUCAAAGAGAAGAGGUCUCCAGCAGCUCAGGGGAGCAGCAGUAGCCCUCCUGCUGAUUCACAGCCUGUGGAGCAAGGGGUGUCCCUGCUGCAGUCACAGCUGGCCCGAGACCGACAGCACCACCUGGAGAGCUGUGCAGGGAGCAGGCACGAGCCACUCCCCUUGAGUCACAGGGAGCAGAAGGGAUCUCCUUGCUUCCUAAACUUCUCAGAGAGGAGCCAGAGUGCAGCUGGAUGUAGUCUUAGCCUUAGAUUUUGUCAAUAGUUUAUGUUUAAAGGAUAGUUAGAGGUUUAAGGGAACCUUUAUACAACUGUGUUCCAUAGGAUGUAGGAUGUAUUUAUAGACAAAUAAAGAGUUUGUUAUGAUCACGAUUAAACUAAAAGAUCUUUAUCAGAAUUACUACCCAGUACAGGGUAUAUAACUAUAACUUCCAGUAUAAUGCAUUAUAAUUGAAGCAACUUUGAAGCAAUUCCAACCAGGAAAACCAAUUCUUAAUUAGUGAUUGAUCACCCAAACCAAUGAUCAUGGGCAAAGAUUUCUCUCAGCCUCAAGGAGUGACACUGAGGGACAUGAUCACUCCAGGGAGGAAUCUGGAGAAGGGAGGCAUGUGACAUAAUCCAUUUUGGUGAGGUCAGGAGACUCCUGCCAUGUGUGGAGCUUUUUCAUUUGUCCUGAGGAAACUGCAACCUGUUUUUUUCUGAGAGUCACAGAAUCUCAGGCUGGCUGAGCUUGGAGGCACUUCUGGAGGUCACCUUGGAUCAUUGUAGAGACAGACACACAACACACACCCACCCCCACACACACACUUGAGUAGAGACAACAGUGGCUCCUCUUUAUUACAUGAUGUUCUCAAGUUUACACCUUUAACAAAGCAUGAUCUGAAGUCAUUAGUUACAUUGAAACAGCUCAUUAUAUUCAUUGGACAAAGCAAUAGCUCAUGGUAUUUUAUUGUUACAAAGCAAUUAAUGUCAAUAAUUAAUUGGCAAGAGCUUACAACAGAUUAUUAAGGCACAUAUGCUCUCCUAAGGCAUAACUCUCCCCUAACUGCAAAUAUCCCUUAUGUAUCUAUUUUAUUGGUUUCCAUGCUAAAGGACUUGCUUUCUUAAAAAUUAUAAUGGUCAUGCAUCCCAAGAAUUUAAAAAGAUUUUUGCUUUGUUUCAGCAUUAUCAAUACAUGAGGGCUUUGAAAAUGUCUUCUCUAUACAUCUACUAUUAGUGCAGCAUUGUAUGAUAUAAGGUGAUUGUCAGGUAUUACUACUGUAAUUACAGUCAAUUUCUGCAAAAUUAAUUUCUUUAAAAUUGAAUUGAAAGCUCAUAUGGUUAACCAUGCACAAAAAGGGUUGGAUGACAGGUUUCUUUUAUUCUUUAACCUUUUCUUUCAUUUCAGCAGGUUUACUGUGGAUUUUGUUCAAGACAGUUUGCAGCAGUCUCCAAGUUAAGAUGAAAGAGAUCCAAAUAACAGAGAGCUGAUUAAAUUCUAACUGUUAAAUAUUUUGUUUAAGGGGAGUAAGCUAAAGGCAUCCCUCCAGUUUAAAACUGAGGCCCUGGCCAUGCCUUGACUUUACCUGGAUGGAGAAUUUACUGAUAAACCCAGAUAUUUUCUGCAUCAGAACAAUAUUGAGGUCAGUUUGACUUGGCAGUUAGUGUAUUAAUAUAGCAGCUGGAUCUUUAGAGUGAACUUGGAAAACUGUUCUCCAGACAUGAUUUUCCAAUCUGUCACUGAUUCAUCUGCUGUGGCAGACUCUGGGAUGUUAGCACAUCCAGUAAUCCAUAUUACAGGUUAUUUAGAUCAUUUUAAUAUAGCAUAAUAUCAAUUAUGCAUCUUCUUAAGUUCUUGAUUGCUGUAAAAGUGUUAUUUACUAUAUGUAUACAUGUGCAUGUGUUUUACUUCAAUGGUUUUUCAUUGUCAUAACAAGAAAACAGAUAUCUUACCUUUGGCUUACAAGAGACGGGGAGAAAACAGAGGCUGUAGAAACUCAGAAGCAUGGAAACCCUAUGUAUUUUGGAGUUUUGAAAAAAAAAAAAGCAUAAAAAACUUAUAUCUGUUGUAAAUUUUCUGAACAGUCCUUUUUAAACAGUACUUUUACAGAACCAAUUCCAUCAAUUAUCAGGUAUUCUUCUAACGGUAUUCAAACAAAGCUGAGAGAGAGUUCUUUGGUUCUGGUCAAAGGUUCAGAAGCAGGAUAGAUUAAAAAUCCAUUUCAAUUAAUAGCCUGGAGGAAAGGAUAUGCUUGUGUAUUCACAGGUUCAAAGCAGAAGUAACUUCCUAAUGAAGAGCAUGGAAACUUAUCAGCUGCAGAAACAAGGAAACACUCUGUGUCUCAGACUCCAACAACAGCAGCUUGUAACGUAAGCAUAGCAGCUUGUAAGUUAUCACAGCUUGCCGAUAACUUUUGGCACAACACCGCUCAAAAUACCAGUUCUGAAGAGGCAAAACAAUUCUUUCAGGACCUUGACCAGUCAAUCCAACACAUUGUUUAGGAGACUUAAUAGGUUCAGCAAUUAAUUCAGAAAGACCAGAAGCAGUUUUUAUAGAUCUGUCCUGGGUUGAUUAUGAAGUUAAAUUGUAUCCCCAUUCGUCCACCUAACCCAGAGACAGGUUUUGUAUUCCUAAAAUUCCAUCUGAGACUAAAAGUGAGUGGGAAAGAAGCACCGAGUCUGUUAUCAGAGACUGUACUUGCUCCCCCCGCAUCGGGAGUUUUGACUACAGCACAGACAGACAACAAGACACAGAUCGCCUUGUCUUUCCAACUAGCCAGAGCAGAGGGAUCUUCCUGGACUGUUUUCUUUCCCUUUUUCUGAAACAAAUUGAACCUGCUUUGGACUGGGGACUCGGGGGAGCACCGGGAGCUCACACCCGUGGACUACCGGGAGCCCAGCCUGGGCAGCGGCAUUUUCCAGCCCCAGAGGGACUGAUAACAGAGCAAACACCCACAGGAAAGAGACCCUCUGAAGUUUUUCAUCUCUUCAGAGCGGCGAGGGGUUUUGUAACUUGAUAUCAUUCAUUUUUUGUGCUGGGUAGUGCUGUGCCUGUGAAAUAAACAGGUUUUUUCCACUUC